This 253-nucleotide ribosomal RNA is filed under the name uncultured bacterium. Its description in RNAcentral is "partial 16S ribosomal RNA". It matches the Rfam family "Bacterial small subunit ribosomal RNA", at positions 524 to 776 of the family's 1533-position model. The record is from RNAcentral.
UACAGGGGGCACUAGCGUUGCUCGGAAUCACUGGGCGUAAAGCGUACGCAGGCGGAUGGUUAAGUCGUGGGUGAAAGCCUGGAGCUCAACUCCAGAAGUGCCCUCGAUACUGGUCAUCUUGAGUACGGGAGAGGUGAGUGGAAUUCCUGGUGUAGAGGUGAAAUUCGUAGAUAUCAGGAGGAACACCGGUGGCGAAAGCGGCUCACUGGCCCGAUACUGACGCUCAUGUACGAAAGCGUGGGGAGCAAACAGG